This 429-nucleotide ribosomal RNA is filed under the name Bacteroidota bacterium. RNAcentral's name for it is "Bacteroidetes bacterium partial 16S ribosomal RNA". It matches the Rfam family "Bacterial small subunit ribosomal RNA", at positions 355 to 776 of the family's 1533-position model. The record is from RNAcentral. Lineage: Bacteria; Pseudomonadati; Bacteroidota.
UAGGGAAUCUUCGGCAAUGGGGGGAACCCUGACCGAGCAACGCCGCGUGAGUGAAGAAGGUUUUCGGAUUGUAAAGCUCUGUUGUUAAGGAAGAACGAGUGUGAGAAUGGAAAGUUCAUACUGUGACGGUACUUAACCAGAAAGGGACGGCUAACUACGUGCCAGCAGCCGCGGUAAUACGUAGGUCCCGAGCGUUGUCCGGAUUUAUUGGGCGUAAAGCGAGCGCAGGCGGUUAGAAAAGUCUGAAGUGAAAGGCAGUGGCUCAACCAUUGUAGGCUUUGGAAACUGUUUAACUUGAGUGCAGAAGGGGAGGGUGGAAUUCCAUGUGUAGCGGUGAAAUGCGUAGAUAUAUGGAGGAACACCGGGGGCGAAGGCGGCUCUCUGGUCUGUAACGGACGCUGAGGCUCGAAAGCGUGGGGAGCGAACAGG